Molecule: ribosomal RNA, 484 nt
Filed under: uncultured bacterium
Lineage: Bacteria
Description: partial 16S ribosomal RNA
Rfam family: Bacterial small subunit ribosomal RNA
Source: RNAcentral
AUUGAACGCUGGCGGCAGGCCUAACACAUGCAAGUCGAGCGGAUGAAGGGAGCUUGCUCCUGGAUUCAGCGGCGGACGGGUGAGUAAUUCCUAGGAAUCUGCCUGGUAGUUGGGGAUAACGUCCGGAAACGGGCGCUGAUACCGCAUACGUCCUGAGGGAGAAAGGGGGGGAUCUUCGGACCUCACGCUAUCAGAUGAGCCUAGGUCGGAUUAGCUAGUUGGUGGGGUAAAGGCCUACCAAGGCGACGAUCCGUAACUGGUCUGAGAGGAUGAUCAGUCACACUGGAACUGAGACACGGUCCAGACUCCUACGGGAGGCAGCAGUGGGGAAUAUUGGACAAUGGGCGAAAGCCUGAUCCAGCAAUGCCGCGUGUGUGAAGAAGGUCUUCGGAUUGUAAAGCACUUUAAGUUGGGAGGAAGGGAAGUAAGUUAAUACCUUGAUGUUUUGACGUUACCAAAAGAAUAAGCACCGGCUAACUUCGUG